CAAGAAGCAAAUAUGUAUUUAGUUUCGGCCUAAAAGAAGGGACCCCCGUCUCCUUGUUGU
This 60-nucleotide transfer RNA is filed under the name Neelus murinus. Its description in RNAcentral is "tRNA-Arg". Lineage: Eukaryota; Metazoa; Arthropoda; Collembola; Neelipleona; Neelidae. The record is from RNAcentral.